Molecule: long non-coding RNA, 629 nt
Filed under: Urocitellus parryii (Arctic ground squirrel)
Lineage: Eukaryota; Metazoa; Chordata; Mammalia; Rodentia; Sciuridae
Description: lncRNA (ENSUPAG00010023007.1)
Source: RNAcentral
GCACCAAUCACCCCGGCUCCAGUGACGGCUGCUAUCCUCGGACUCCAGCCUCGCCUGCAUGUGGUGCCUGAGACCUGGGCAAGCUGCAGCCACUCUGCCCCUGCAUGGGAGGGUGUGUGGGAGCCGAGGAAGGUGCUGAACGGUGAGUGGACCAGAUGGAUUGCUCCAUGCUCCGUAUCCCUCGUCUGUUCUGCCACCACGACCCUCGGCGAUGCCUUAGGCCUCUCCUCAGAGAGGUACGGAAGUGACACGUGCAGGGGGUGAACAGUUCAGGUCAAACAGCUCGCCGACUACAGAGCUGGGCACACCCACGCUCCUCCCUGAACUCCCCCAUCCUGCCAGCGGACCAGAACUCAGGCCGUACUUGGAUGUCUCUGCAGCCCUGAGCUGCGCCCUGGGGGAUCCCAGACACAGAAAUGAGAGCAAGAAAAGGAAAGUAGAAAAACGUGUUCCUGUCAUCUCCACUCUGCUGCAGGACGUCUGUCCCCUCCCUCUCUUCUUGCCUCCCUCCAAAUAUCAGCCUCCAGCUCCUCCAUCUUCACUCCUCUCUCCAGACCUUGGCUUCGGGAGUCUGAGUGCUCGCUUCUCUGUUUCCUGCGCAUCACGCCCCCAUCGUGAGUAGCUGUUUG